CCUACGGGUGGCAGCAGUGGGGAAUAUUGCACAAUGGGGGAAACCCUGAAGCAGCCACGCCGCGUGAGUGAAGAAGUAUCUAGGUAUGGUAAGCUCCAUCUGCAGGGAAGAAAAAGACGGUACGUGACGAAGUAGCCACGGAUAACUCCGAGCCAGCAGCCGCGGUAAUGCGGAGGGUGCCAGCGUUAUACGGAUUUACUGGGUGUUAAGGGAGCGUAGUAGGCUUUGAGAGUCCGGAGUGAAAGCGCUGGGCUCAACCGUGGAACUGCUGUGGAAACUGUGGAGCUUGAGUGCGGGAGGGGCAGGCGGAAUUCGUAGUGUAGCGGUGAAAUGCGUAGAUAUUAGGAAGAACACCGACUGCGAAGGCAGCCUGCUGGACCGUAACUGACGCUGAUGCUCGAAAGCGUGGGGAGCAAACAGGAUUAGAUACCCUGGUAGUC
This 440-nucleotide ribosomal RNA is filed under the name uncultured bacterium. Its description in RNAcentral is "partial 16S ribosomal RNA". It matches the Rfam family "Bacterial small subunit ribosomal RNA", at positions 338 to 795 of the family's 1533-position model. The record is from RNAcentral.